Molecule: ribosomal RNA, 380 nt
Filed under: Leptomorphus sp. DK-2013
Lineage: Eukaryota; Metazoa; Arthropoda; Insecta; Diptera; Mycetophilidae
Description: partial 16S ribosomal RNA
Source: RNAcentral
UCGAAGGUAGCAUAAUCAGUAGUUUUUUAAUUGAAAACUUGUAUGAAGGGUUGAACGAAAUAUUAGCUGUUUCAAAGAAAAAAUUAGAAAUUAACUUUUUAGUAAAAAGGCUAAAAUAAAAUUAAAAGACGAGAAGACCCUAUAGAGUUUUAUAUUUUUAAUAAUUUAAUUUAUUUAUAUUAAUUUAAUUUUUUUUUUUAAAAAUAUUUUGUUGGGGUGACAGUAAAAUUUAAAAAACUUUUAUUUAUUUAUUACAUUAAUUUAUGAAUAAUUGAUCCAAUUUUAUUGAUUAUAAGAUUAAAUUACCUUAGGGAUAACAGCGUAAUUUUUUUAUAGAGUUCUUAUCGAUAAAAAAUUUUGCGACCUCGAUGUUGGAUUAA